RNAcentral lists this ribosomal RNA (253 nucleotides) under uncultured bacterium. RNAcentral describes it as "partial 16S ribosomal RNA". It matches the Rfam family "Bacterial small subunit ribosomal RNA", at positions 524 to 776 of the family's 1533-position model. The record is from RNAcentral.
UACGGAGGGUGCAAGCGUUAUUCGGAAUUACUGGGCGUAAAGCGCACGUAGGCGGCCUUGUAAGUCAGGGGUGAAAUCCCACGGCUCAACCGUGGAACUGCCUUUGAAACUGCAGGGCUUGAAUCCUGGAGAGGGUGGCGGAAUUCCUGGUGUAGGAGUGAAAUCCGUAGAUAUCAGGAGGAACACCGGUGGCGAAGGCGGCCCCCUGGACAGGUAUUGACGCUGAGGUGCGAAAGUGUGGGGAGCAAACAGG